AUUGAACGCUGGCGGCAUGCUUUACACAUGCAAGUCGAGCGGCAGCGCGGGGGCAACCCUGGCGGCGAGCGGCGAACGGGUGAGUAAUGCAUCGGAACGUAUCCUCGAGUGGGGGAUAACCCAGCGAAAGUUGGGCUAAUACCGCAUGAGCUCUGAGGAGGAAAGCGGGGGACCUGCGAGGGCCUCGCGCUGGAGGAGCGGCCGAUGUCCGAUUAGCUAGUUGGUGGGGUAAAGGCUUACCAAGGCGACGAUCGGUAGCUGGUCUGAGAGGAUGAUCAGCCACACUGGGACUGAGACACGGCCCAGACUCCUACGGGAGGCAGCAGUGGGGAAUUUUGGACAAUGGGGGCAACCCUGAUCCAGCCAUGCCGCGUGAGUGAAGAAGGCCUUCGGGUUGUAAAGCUCUUUCGGACGGAACGAAAUGGGCGGGACUAAUACUCCUGUCUGAUGACAGUACCGUAAGAAGAAGCACCGGCUAACUACGUG
This 486-nucleotide ribosomal RNA is filed under the name uncultured bacterium. RNAcentral's name for it is "partial 16S ribosomal RNA". It matches the Rfam family "Bacterial small subunit ribosomal RNA", at positions 29 to 507 of the family's 1533-position model. The record is from RNAcentral.